This 497-nucleotide ribosomal RNA is filed under the name uncultured bacterium. Its description in RNAcentral is "partial 16S ribosomal RNA". It matches the Rfam family "Bacterial small subunit ribosomal RNA", at positions 28 to 507 of the family's 1533-position model. The record is from RNAcentral.
GAUGAACGCUGGCGGCGUGCCUAAUACAUGCAAGUCGAACGCAUAGCGAAAGGUGCUUGCACCUUUCAAGUGAGUGGCGAACGGGUGAGUAACACGUGGACAACCUGCCUCAAGGCUGGGGAUAACAUUUGGAAACAGAUGCUAAUACCGAAUAAAACUUAGUGUCGCAUGACACAAAGUUAAAAGGCGCUUCGGCGUCACCUAGAGAUGGAUCCGCGGUGCAUUAGUUAGUUGGUGGGGUAAAGGCCUACCAGGACAAUGAUGCAUAGCCGAGUUGAGAGACUGAUCGGCCACAUUGGGACUGAGACACGGCCCAAACUCCUACGGGAGGCUGCAGUAGGGAAUCUUCCACAAUGGGCGAAAGCCUGAUGGAGCAACGCCGCGUGUGUGAUGAAGGCUUUCGGGUCGUAAAGCACUGUUGUAUGGGAAGAACAGCUAGAAUAGGAAAUGAUUUUAGUUUGACGGUACCAUACCAGAAAGGGACGGCUAAAUACGUG